RNAcentral lists this ribosomal RNA (477 nucleotides) under uncultured bacterium. Its description in RNAcentral is "partial 16S ribosomal RNA". It matches the Rfam family "Bacterial small subunit ribosomal RNA", at positions 28 to 507 of the family's 1533-position model. The record is from RNAcentral.
GAUUAACGCUGGCGGCGUGCAUAACACAUGCAAGUCGAACGAUGAAGAUUAUUAGACUUCUUCGGAAUGAAAAUAAUUGGAUUAGUGGCGGACGGGUGAGUAACGCGUGAGUAACCUGCCUUACACAAGGGGAUAGCCGUUGGAAACGACGAAUAAUACCCUAUGAAACUAUCACUUCGCAUGAAGCGAUAGUCAAAGUGUUAGCGGUGUAAGAUGGACUUGCGUCUGAUUAGCUAGUUGGUGAGAAAAAAGCCCACCAAGGCAACGAUCAGUAGCCGGCUUGAGAGAGUGUACGGCCACAUUGGGACUGAGACACGGCCCAGACUCCUACGGGAGGCAGCAGUGGGGAAUUUUGCACAACGGGGGAAACCCUGAUGCAGCGACGCCGCGUGAUUUAGAAGGCCUUCGGGUUGUAAAAAUCUUUUGUAUAGGAAGAAAAUGACAGUACUAUACGAAUAAGGUCCGGCUAAUUACGUG